AUGAGUUUGGAGUCUCUGAGACAACAGUUAGGAGCAAUAGAGGACUAGCAAAAGCUAAGUGUGGGGGAAUUUGAUAGGCGCAUUUUAAUGUGAUAUUUUAAAUGUUAAUUCCUCACAUUUUGCUUAGUUAUUCCUUAACGAAUCGAUUUUUAACUUAAUUUCUAUUUUUAGGUACAUUGGAGUAGAUGAAGAAGAAAUGAGUGUUACGUCCAUAAUUACCUAGAAAUGAUGGAGAAGAAUGAAAAUGCACUAAAAAGUCAACCUUGAAUAUUUUCUUACUCCGGCUAGGAGAAUCAGAGCCAAGCAAGGAAGAAGGAGCGGCCACCUGACCAAAUGAACUCGAAAUGAGCUGAAACUCUCCAGAUCCAUUCUAGACACCCAAAGGAUCAUUUCUUAUGAAGAGUGCCAGAGAAAAAUAUGAGUGGAAGGCCUU
This 433-nucleotide long non-coding RNA is filed under the name Rosa chinensis. Its description in RNAcentral is "sRNA RchiOBHm_Chr2g0128561". The record is from RNAcentral. Lineage: Eukaryota; Viridiplantae; Streptophyta; Magnoliopsida; Rosales; Rosaceae.